RNAcentral lists this transfer RNA (77 nucleotides) under Patescibacteria group bacterium. RNAcentral describes it as "tRNA-Met". It matches the Rfam family "tRNA". Rfam says of the family: Transfer RNA (tRNA) molecules are approximately 80 nucleotides in length. The record is from RNAcentral.
GGCGGGGUAGCUCAGUUGGUUAGAGCGAGGGACUCAUAAGCCCUAGGUCGCCGGUUCAACUCCGGCCCCCGCUACCA